ACGCUGUUCAUUCACGUGCAUACAAAUCAAAUCCAGACGUCUCCUUCAAUUUAGUGAGAAAGCGAAUGACUACAAUCUUUGUUUGAGGUGUUGACUCUGAAUACCCGAAUCACAGAGGGAUAUCAAUUGAAGACAGAUAUUUCAGGUAGUCUUUUCAUUUGGCUAUCCAGCUGAUUACGUUAUACACAUAUAUGUGGACCGCAUUGCAUAAAUGUAAGUUGAGCGCAGUUAUAAUCAUAACAAUUUAAAAUAAUCAGACGAAAGGAAUGAAUCGAGGAAUGAAUUGUGUUCUUUCUACCAGACGCUAAUAGCUUUGAGACAGCAUGAGCUCAUUAAAAACAAGAAAUGAAGUAUUCCACAUAUUUUAAAAUGUUGAUGAGAUAACGUAAUCACAGGCAAAAACUUUUAAUACAAAUUAAUUCUUAUACAGGCAUGAGUACAUUUUGCAGGUUUGCCAUUUUUCAAAUUUUAACAUCGGAUCGACGUAAAUAAAUUAGCCUGACUUUCUC
This is a long non-coding RNA of Xenia sp. Carnegie-2017, 509 nucleotides long. RefSeq lists it as uncharacterized. Lineage: Eukaryota; Metazoa; Cnidaria; Anthozoa; Malacalcyonacea; Xeniidae. The record is from RefSeq and is a predicted model, not a curated record. The transcript has 2 exons.